UGGAACUGAGACACGGUCCAAACUCCUACGGGAGGCAGCAGUGGGGAAUAUUGCACAAUGGGCGAAAGCCUGAUGCAGCAACGCCGCGUGAGUGAUGAAGGCCUUCGGGUCGUAAAACUCUGUCCUCAAGGAAGAUAAUGACGGUACUUGAGGAGGAAGCCCCGGCUAACUACGGGCCAGCAGCCGCGGUAAUACGUAGGGGGCUAGCGUUAUCCGGAUUUACUGGGCGUAAAGGGUGCGUAGGCGGUCUUUCAAGUCAGGAGUGAAAGGCUACGGCUCAACCGUAGUAAGCUCUUGAAACU
RNAcentral lists this ribosomal RNA (302 nucleotides) under Clostridioides difficile. Its description in RNAcentral is "bacterial SSU rRNA". It matches the Rfam family "Bacterial small subunit ribosomal RNA", at positions 314 to 634 of the family's 1533-position model. The record is from RNAcentral. Lineage: Bacteria; Bacillati; Bacillota; Clostridia; Peptostreptococcales; Peptostreptococcaceae.